CGUGUAGGCGGUCGGGUAAGUCAGAUGUGAAAGCCUUCUGCUUAACAGAAGAAGUGCAUUUGAAACUGCUCGGCUAGAGUACGGGAGAGGAGAGUGGAAUUCCCGGUGUAGAGGUGAAAUUCGUAGAUAUCGGGAGGAACACCAGUGGCGAAGGCGGCUCUCUGGUCCGAUACUGACGCUGAGACGCGAAAGCGUGGGGAGCAAACAGGAUUAGAUACCCUGGUAGUCCACGCCGUAAACGAUGGGCACUAGGUGUGGGAGGUAUUGACCCCUUCUGUGCCGAAGUUAACGCAUUAAGUGCCCCGCCUGGGGAGUACGGCCGCAAGGCUAAA
RNAcentral lists this ribosomal RNA (332 nucleotides) under uncultured bacterium. RNAcentral's name for it is "bacterial SSU rRNA". It matches the Rfam family "Bacterial small subunit ribosomal RNA", at positions 568 to 898 of the family's 1533-position model. The record is from RNAcentral.